Molecule: long non-coding RNA, 2062 nt
Filed under: Homo sapiens (human)
Lineage: Eukaryota; Metazoa; Chordata; Mammalia; Primates; Hominidae
Description: uncharacterized LOC105374642, transcript variant 4 (LOC105374642)
Source: RNAcentral
GUCUGGCAGUGCAAGAGAGGCUGCCAUGAGUGUGCUAAGUUUCUGAUUUCUGUGAUCAUAGCAAGAUUGUCCUAAAUUAGACACAAGGCCACAUCAUUUGCAAUCUCAAGCAAAAUGAUGGUGAUCCUCUUCCAGCACGGACAAAGUCAGUUCACCUGGCUGAUUCAUAAACGCGUCGCAGAUCCAUUCCUUCUCAGUUCGGGGGUAUUUGGUGAUUGGGAAGUAACGCUCAAGCUCUACUGAAAGCUGAGUUUGGCUUUGAAUGCAGCUGCUUAAUCUACUGACUAUCUGCCGACUUGAACACAGUUGCCGUUCUCCCCUGAAGUGACAGAUUAAGUUUGUGGAGCAGGUUGAAUGUGUCACACAAACUUUGAAUGUUUGAGACUACCUUGGCCACCAGAUUGUGUUACCUGGAAGUUUGGUCCCAAGCAAGAAGCCACAGGGAGAGACAGCGAGGCAACUCUAUGCACAUGCAAUGAACACUGAGACUGAUAUCACUGAGACUUUCAGAGGACAAUGGACUCAUUAUGGAUCUCACAUCUUUCCUAGACUCUGUUCUUUGCUCUUGGGUCUUCUCUACUCAGACUACCUGCCCCCAAAUGCUCCAUCCUCACCAAAAUAUAAAGAUUGAGAAGAAAGUGGGACAAAGGGUGUGGAAUAAAAAAUGUAAGAUUGGCUAUCACCCCAAGGUGAUCAAAUCUAAUGUUGGCUUUGCUCCAGCGGAUCUGUGACCAAUUUUGUAUCAGUCCCAGAGCACAGCGAGCCUGUUCAGGCUCUUGUAAGUGAGGACCUGUGGUUGAAGAGUAAAAUUUUUGUGACUUUAAUCCUUCUUUUCUCCAGACUGGAGGGUCAUGAUGGUACAGUGGGAAUACCUUGGGCCUGGCUGCCAGGCCGACCUGCACAAAGAUGGUUGUCCCUGUGGGAGGGGCACAGACAUUGUGCAGGUUGCACACAAAAACAGAACUAGGGUCUCUGGCAGCGGAAAUGAGUCAUACAGAGAGCCGUUUAGAGGUUUCUCAAUACAGUUCUUGGGCUUAUUAAGGUUGAGUAAUGGCAAUUAGUGUGGAGGCAAAUUGGAACAACAGUGACAGUGUUGAUUAUGAAGCAAAUGAAGAAGCUCAAAAGGAAGGCAUUUUCUUGGAGUGCCUCAAAGAAUUCUGCCCUUUAAUUAUCUGCCCUCUCAGUGUAGAGAGAGUGAGAUAUCACUGGAAAACACUGGAGGGCCAUUUGUGGUGACACAGAAGCCUCUCAUACAGACAGGAAGCAAAUGAAUGGCAGGGGAUGUGAGUUUGGAUGGAAGGGCUGUCAUGGGGAUUCAGAUUGGAUUCUAGAGUCAGGUGCAUUGUGGUCCUUGCCUGAUGCAGGAGGUUUGGACUCAGAUUUUUCUGAAGACAACAUAAGCAGAGAAACAAGGUGUGAAGACAAGCUUGUUUGAGGAUGUUGGCACCAUGACAAAGUUAUUUACUGUACCCCAUCCCAGUGCCCAGAUGAACAAUAUGAACAUGAUAGGGAUGCAGUUCACAUGUGUUCCAUUUUAGAGUUUGCUUUAAAAAUUUAUAUCCAUGUCAUAACCUUCUGAUUAGGAUUUGAGAGAACUGAUUGUCAAAGUGAACUAUAUUUUUAGGAAAGUGUUAUUUUAUAUUAUUCUGAUGCUAUAAAAGCCAAGAUUGCUAAACUGAAGGACUCUGUAACGUGAGAAGCAUAUCAUAUUCUAAGUAUCCCUAAGGUGUCUCUCUUGACCUCAGCACUAACAGCUGGUAAUGGCAGGGAUUGCUGUUAUUUCACAUGUGACCCACGAUGGUGAGACAUACUCACCCACCCAGGGCGAGGGGGAAGAGGGGAGAUUGCCACAUAUUUCCAGCUGGCAUAGCAAUUGUAGUAUUAAGAAGGUGAAAGAUUCAUAUCUAAUCAAAUAACCUCAGAUAAGUGUGUCCUGGGCUGUUGUCCCUGUGGCUUUAACAAGUCACUUGGUGAUGCACAAACUGAAUGCAGCUGAACUCUGCCCAGGGCUGUGAUGACUGCUUUUCAUAGCUUUGAAUUCUAUUAAAAACCAGAAUGAAAA